This 295-nucleotide signal recognition particle RNA is filed under the name Saimiri boliviensis boliviensis (Bolivian squirrel monkey). RNAcentral's name for it is "Metazoan signal recognition particle RNA (ENSSBOG00000001136.1)". It matches the Rfam family "Metazoan signal recognition particle RNA". Rfam says of the family: The signal recognition particle (SRP) is a universally conserved ribonucleoprotein. The record is from RNAcentral. Lineage: Eukaryota; Metazoa; Chordata; Mammalia; Primates; Cebidae.
GCCGUGCACAGUGGCACGUAACUGUAUUCCCAGCUACUUGGGAGGCUGAGGCUAGAGGAUUGCUUGAGCCCAGGAUGCUGGGCUGUAGUGUGAUGUGCCGAUCAGGUGUCUGCACCAAGUUCAACAUCAGUAUGGUGACCUCCUGGGAGUGGGAGACCACCAGGUUGCCUAAGGAGGGGUGAACUGGCCCAGGUCGGAAACGCAGCAGUUCAAAACUCCCGUGCUGAUCAGUAGUGGGAUCGCGCCUGUGAGCCACUGCACUCCAGCCUGGGCAACAUACUGAGACCCUGUCUCU